UUUUUUUUUUUUUUUCCAGUUAGAGUUUUAAGACUGCGUGUGAGCUAAGGAUUCUGACAUUCUUGAAACUCCUCUUGGAACUGCUUGGCCAUCUCCCAUAUAGCCUGUCAGGCAGGACGAUAUGUUCUGAAUAAACUUUGCUUCUGAAAUUCCACCCUUGGUCUGGCUGACGGCUAAGUUAGGUAAUUGGAUUGACACUGGCUAGUCCUAAAUACAUGACCUACUCUUGUGAAUCAAAAUCCAACUGAAGCUCAGAAUGGCUGAAUACAUGACUCAGGGCUCACUAGUCUGCCCAAUAUCUGGAUCCACUCUGAUUCUCAAGUUUAAGUUCUUUCCACAGCAUGCCACCUAGAAUCACCAUCAUGGCCCAUGGUUCACAUUUGUUCAUUUUCAAGGCAGACCGGCUGUGGGUUUUAAGCAUGUUUUCAAAGGAAAAACCUGCAGUGCUUAGGAAUAUUAACACAGAGCAUUUGUUCCACACUUCACAGGGUUCAUAGACCUGACAUGACCGAUUUUCACACUGUCUAAGGAAUACAGUCCCGAUCACACUGGCCCCAUUUUAUAGGUGACAGAUUCUAAUUUUUGAGCUGAAACAACUUGCCUAGGACCAAGCAGCUGAUGGGUGCAAAAGCUGAUCUUGUUAAUUCAAAACCUACCAGGUUAACUUUAAACUCAACAUUGAGAAUCAUUCAUGUCACAUAAUGCAUCUCGACUGAGGGGUAUGGAUUGUUUCACUCAGGGUGGGAAGAACAGAGUAUUUACACAUAAGAAACACUGAAAAUGGACUAUUCAAAGGAUUAACAAGCUCACACACAAAAAGGAAGCAAAAAUUGUGAAAUGCUGCCAAUAUACCAUGCACCUCUCUUUAUAAGCAGGUAGGUUUUAGUUGUGAUUAUUUUUCCUGAAGUUCAGUGAAUCUUGUGUUCAAAUGACACACUCUAUUCUAAGUAAAUGGAAUAGGCAGAUAAUAAGCUGGAACAACGUUGACUUCAGUGAAAACUUUUCCUGUUAAUACCCACUGGCUUGAAGUUCACUGACUUGGACUUUGCCAGAUUCCUUUCAAAUCUCCAAUCCUACUCCCCACUCCUACCCUUAGGACUGCUUCAUUUGCCAAGAUUUUCUUGACUGGCUGGAACGGUGAAGCUAUAAAGAAAAAACUGUGAAAAUUGACUGCCUCAGUCUGGAAUUUGCCACUAAGAAGCCCUCAUGUCAUGGUUCAAACUCAUGGUUGAAAACUAGCAGUAACCUUCCCGGGAGGGAAAACACUCCUUACUUUGCUUAAAGCUGUUCAACAAUCUUUUUUAGGCUGGACUCCUGAAACCUCAGACACCUGAGGUACUGCAUCAUUCCUGGGGAAACCAAAGCAUCAUUUUAACUUUGUCCGCAAAUUUAGGCUAAUGGGAGUUAGGCUGCCACUGCCAAGAGUAAUGAGUUAUACUCUGCUGCUGCAGAAGCAGAGUCUGCGGUCUAGUAAUGAAAAUAUUUUAAGUGGAAUUUCUAGUGACCAGCACUAGCCCAAAGUGAUUUUAUUCCAAAGAUGGUCAGGAAUACAACAUUCUCAUUUUGAAUAUUGCAUAUAAAGGGUGGCUUUCUGAGUUCAAGAAGUAAAAUUGCUACAAAAGACAUUGGGUGUCAAGUCUGCAACAUAUAGAACAAGGAACACCUGUGUGAUAAGGAAGGCCCUUUGUAGAUGCAUGGCUGCAAUGAAUGGCAAUUCAUUUCCUCAGUGCAAUAAAAUGUAACUUAAAUCUUCAUUAAAGCUUUUGACUUUCUUUGCUUUCCCUUCAACCUUACUGCAAAAGAUCCAUCAUUUCAACUGUAAAGGUGCUUUAUGGAAAUCAAGCUGUGAGACUGAACUAACUUAUCCAAAAAUCUUGGUUUUUAAAAGGGUUUAAACUUCCAAACGGGCAAAUAGAAUAAGACAUGGGAGCAAAACAGAUGAGUAUAAUGUCUCCUCUCUUAAUGAGAAUAACGGUACCCCUGAAAUAGUGGGUAGGCAAGAUGUCUGAUUCUUAUUCUAAGAAUCUGAAUACGAAAUCAUAUGCGGAUUUUUAUAAUAAAGCUAGGAGAAUUUCAAUGUAGAAAUCUUAAAAGUAAAUCUGGCCAGGAAAUUUUCUUAAUCCAAAUUUCAUUAAUUUAAUGAUAGAAUUGUGAAACACUUUUGUUUUUCAAAACUCAUCUGUAAUUUGACAGUCCUUUAAGGUAACUCUAUUUUUCUAGAACAAAACAAAACAAAAAAAAGGAUAACACUUUGGAUAAAAGGCAGCGUCUCACACAGGAUUCUGGUAUUUAACUCUCAUAAGUAUCUCCAUCCAGACUUGAUUCUAGUGAUAUUUUCAAAUAAAUAAUCCAGUUAUUUUCUCCUCGUUUUCUAGCAACAGAAUUUUUGAGUCAAAGGAAAUGCAUGAACUCAACAGGUUUUAAAAAUGAUUUGCUAACCUGCUUCCAGGAUUUGCUUAUCCUAACAUCGGGUGUAAGAAUGUUUAUUUUCCUCAACAAAGAACAACAACAGAAAAUAAAAUUUUAAAAAAUCUAUUCAAAAAGAGGGAAAGGGAAUUGUUAAAAUGUUUACUGUAAGAUCAAAAGGUAACGGGCAAUAAAGGCAGAGACCAAACAAGAUCUUGGGUAUCAUUUUUGCCUUCCGCAUCAGAAUUUUUGCUAUCUUGACUUUAAGAAAGUGAAACCAUUCAAGUAAAGAUUAAAAAAAAAAUCAGUGAAAUCCUCUUCCACAUUUUAGCUAUUCUCCAGGAUAACUCAAUGAAUUCCUAUCCAGUGGGACUUUUCAAUCACACACCACAAACAGUUUAAGUACCUAGAACCCCCCAAAUCAGUUAAAAGUUACCUAAACAUACCUUUUCAAGUAAUAGAUGAAUUAUGUCUGCUUUUGAAAGAUUUGUAAAAAAAAAUUACAUUCACAAAUAUGGAAGGAAAGGAGAGAAUACAAUAUAGAUUGUAGUUACAUUCCCCCUUUGUUUACUUUUGGCAAAUUUAGAAACAGCAUUGUCUUUUCAGAGGCUCAGAACAGCAGCAGGAAUUUCUUAGGUCUAAUAGGUACCCACAGUCUAGUGGGAGUAAAUAAACAGCAACAUCAUACAGUAUAGGAUCAUGAGUUUCCUGUGUUUUAACUCCAUUAGUUAAUGUUUGAUCAUCAAAAAAACCCCACUUAUUUUAUUCAAAUUAAACAGCAACUAAACCACCCUGAACAGGCAAACGGCUUUGGAGACAGAGCUCAGGGCCAGGCUGCACAGCUGAGACAACUCUAGCCCUUUCCAUAUUUAGAGCCUCAUUUUCACUUAGCAGAAAUUCCUGACUGGCUCAUGUCAAAAUCAGAUCCCGUCAAUGCCCAGUCAACAGUUCUUCACCGAAGCCUCAUGCAUUCCCUUGUGUGGACAUACCACAAUUUAUUUAUCCAUUCCAAAACUGAAGGGCACUUGGGUUGUGAAACCACAGCUUUAUCUCAUUGUUUCUUCAUUAACAGAAUUUAAGGUUUAUGGUCAAAAUUCCUGUUUUUAGAUCUCUGAGUCACUCUUAAGCUACAAUCCUUUUUACAGCCUCUGGCCUUGAGAUUCUACUUAUUUGGAUUCUGAAUUUUUUAAAUCUUUAUCACUUUUAUUUCCUUCUCUCCCUAUUGUAAACUUGAAGGUAGACCACUUCUUUCCAAGGUUACCAUCACUUCCACAUCCAAAGCCUAGUUUUCUCCAUAUAAAUUAAAUGCAAAUGUUUUCAAGAACAAAGUUUGUUUGAAUAUAUUAUUGCAUCAGUAAAAAAUCAGACAUGGUAAAUGAAAUUACAUUUGGUUUUACCCUUAUCUUUAGCUAAACCCAUGCAAUGUGGUUUCUGUUAAUGGAGCAAGAGUUUCUUUCAGUCUCCCCUUACUAUUGAAAAUUUUGUUAUUGUGCAGUGAUGAAAAUAAAUGGUAGCUACUGUUUUAAAAAUAAACGUCUUUAUGCAAGUUGGAUUUAAUAAAAUAUUAGCUCAUACAUGAAAGAAAAUGUUACAAAAGUGAUCUAUCUCUGCCUUUAUCUGUGUUCUGCUCUUUUGUAAAUACUUCAUAAAGCUGUGGUUUUAUGACAGUAUAAUUGGUUACCAUCUUCUAAGACAACUUGGAGAUAUAAAAUGAAAAUAAAUCAAGAAACAAUAGCAUUUUAGAAUGAGGCCAGCAUAUACACAAGCAUAUAAACCUCAAAUUUAUCUAUCAAAACUGUAAGAAAGUACAUCCCUAGUAAAAUAACAUCUAGUGCUCUAGCAACUUAAUUUUGACACAAAAUGUGUGAUGUGAAUACCCACUACCAGAUAAAUAUUUAAAGAUAUUCAUUUGGCUGUUACUUUUCUCCUUCUUCAAGUAGAAAAUCAUAGGCUUUGUUAGAAACAUGAAAAUACAUUAUUACCAAAGUUCGGAGUAAAUACCCUCUACCUGCUGAAAAGAAGAAUACAAUUAAAAGAAAACAAGACCUAUUCAAGAUAUUUAUGUCUUUUUAGAGAAAUAAUAGUAAAAUUUAAUAAUGUGCCUCUGUAUAUUACUAAAUAUUAUUUAAAGUUUAUAUUUGUGUGUAAUAUAAAUUUUUUCAUUUUUCUUUUUAAGCAAUUGCUUAAAUAUAUAAAAGGAAAAGAGCUACAGUCUCCAUAAAUCCUUUGUUCUAAUAUACUGAGUCCAACAGAUAAUCAAUAUGGCUUUUUUCAAUUCCAGAAAAUCAGAAUUGAAAGUCUUUAUGUUGAUUGGGUAAAAUAAGAACUUAGUUACAUCUUUGAUACACGUUUCUAUUGUCAAAUAUAAAUAAUAGGAAAAAAGAAAAACAGAAAAGCAAAGAUAUUUUGAUAAAACCUUGACAAAGAGGCAAAGGGGACCCUACCCUGCAAAGAAUAAAGAAGUAAAUAAAUCACUGAAAAUAACUUACCAUAGGAAUCAAGAGGAAAGUUUAGAAACUACUUUAUCAUUCUCACUAGUGCCCAAAAUGUAUAGGUAAAAAUUAAAAGCAACAGCAUGCAAUAUACUGGAGAUAUGUGAGACAAGGAAUGAUUUCAGGUAUAUUAAAAUCACUAUAAAAUGUAAAAGCUGAAUAAAAAUCCACAUUGGAAAGCAGAUAUUUACACUUCAGAAUUUACAAUGCAGAAAAUAAAAUCAAGGAUCUUGAGCACAUAGAAAGUUCCCCCAGAAUUCAGAAGAAACGCCAAAGAUAUUAAAACAAGAAAACCAUGGUAAGCACGGAAGGCAGAAAACAGCGAUCUAACCUAUGGAUUGAAGCUGCUGAGGAAGGAGCACUAACCUAAGGAGAAGUCAUAAUAAAAGAAAACAAAACUGUCUUUUAUUCUAGAAUUCAACAAAAAAGUUCUUACUAUGCACGUAAGCACUAAUUCCAUUCCAGCCAAAAAACAGCAGAAAGUGACCUUAUAUGUAGAUGGACAUAUAUGUAGAAAGGACAGAGGAAGGUAAAAUUAAAAUAAAAUAAAAUGCAGUACAAAGAAAGACAAGGGGAAGAGGAGGGAUGAAAGGAGAAAGAAAAUGAGAAAAGAAUUAGAGAAAUAAGGCUGCCUUUGAUAUAAUGACAACAACGAGAGCAACAAAAUAUGUUGUCUGGAUUUGGCUUUCCCCAGGCAUUAAAUUCAGGCCAGAGGCAUAAUGCUGACAGAGCCUCGUGAAUAAGACAGCGUGGUGCGAGGUCAGCCCCUACUUUUACUGGUGAAUUAAAGCAACAGAAGGGCAGUAACGGAGCUAUGCCAUGGCUCAGGACACACCACACUUAGAUGCUCAUGUUUACAAGUGUUCUUUAAGAUUUAAGAUUACUACAGCCAAUGUUGAAAAGAAACAAAUCCACAAAUCAGGCUUCAGGUAAGACUGGAUUGGUGAGUCAACUUUAACUGGGUUUAAAUCUCAAAAUAAUCCCAAGGGGUUUUGUGCAGUCUAGGGCAGCUGGAUGCUGCAAAAUUCCAACAGCUUUUCUUCUGGAUCUGUCCCACUACCAGUCACAAAAAUAGUUUCUUAAGCUAUAUUUUUACCCAUGGUUCAAACAAAAUGUUUCGUAAUUUUAAUGAUUAUUUACUAUAAUAGGUAGCACUGGUUCCAUUUUUGGUAAUAUUCCUUAACUAACAAUACUGAAUGUGUUACUAGGAGACUUAUUAGUCAAAAAGGCUCAGUUUUCUUUCACAAAAGCCAAGGUGUUACAGAAAUCAACACUGUUAUGGUACUUAAGGAAUAUAUACACAUGCAUAUAUAUAUGUAUGUACAUAUAUAUUGUUAAUUUUAAGUUUAUUGAAUGGCAUAUGACAGUUAUCCAUUUUUAUUUUACAGUGAAGACUAAUAAUUCAUCCAGUAACAUGGAGUUUCCGUCAUGGCACAACAGAAAUGAAUCCGACUAGGAACCAUGGGGUUGCGGGCUCAACCCCUGGCCUCGCUGAGUGGGUUAAGGAUCCGGAGCUGCCUUUAGCUGUGGUGUAGGUAGCAGAUGUGGCUCGGAUCCCACAUUGCUGUGGCUGUUGUGUAGGCUGGUGGCUACAGCUCUAGUUAGACCCCUAGCCUGGGAACCUCCCUCCAUAUGCUGAGGGUGCAGCCCUAAAAAGACAAAAGACAAAAAAAUAAAUAAAUAAAAUAAUU
RNAcentral lists this long non-coding RNA (6589 nucleotides) under Sus scrofa (pig). Its description in RNAcentral is "lncRNA (ENSSSCG00060071744.1)". The record is from RNAcentral. Lineage: Eukaryota; Metazoa; Chordata; Mammalia; Artiodactyla; Suidae.